Molecule: long non-coding RNA, 207 nt
Organism: Sebastes umbrosus (honeycomb rockfish)
Lineage: Eukaryota; Metazoa; Chordata; Actinopteri; Perciformes; Sebastidae
Exons: 5
Source: RefSeq, a predicted model, not a curated record
GAGAUGUAUUCAGACGUCCUCUCUCCCAGCUCAUUCUCCGCUGUACAGUAAUAAUCUCCAGAGUCAGAGGACUGGAUGGAGCUGAAGAUGAGCUGAGUGCUUCUUUAUUGAAAGGAAGACGGUUUUGAUCUUCAUUCUCCUUGUACCAGGUGUAUCUAGCUGCUGGGUUAGCAUCACUGCUACAGGUCAGAGUCACUGAACUGCCCU